RNAcentral lists this ribosomal RNA (715 nucleotides) under Verrucomicrobiota bacterium. RNAcentral's name for it is "bacterial LSU rRNA". It matches the Rfam family "Bacterial large subunit ribosomal RNA", at positions 1 to 715 of the family's 2925-position model. Lineage: Bacteria; Pseudomonadati; Verrucomicrobiota. The record is from RNAcentral.
UUGAUCAAGCUACAAAGAGCGCAUCAUGGAUGCCUUGGUGCCAAUAGGCGAUGAAGGACGUGGUAAGCUGCGAUAAGCUACGGACAGCGGCAAACACGCUUUGACCCGUAGAUUUCCGAAUGGGGUAACCUGAGCGAGGUAACACUUGCUCGAGUUCCUGUGAAUCCAUAGCAGGAACAUCGCGACACCCGGCGAAGUGAAACAUCUCAGUAACCGGAGGAAAAGAAAUCGAAAGAGAUUCCGUCAGUAGUGGCGAGCGAAAGCGGAACAGGCUAAACCGAUCGACUUGUCGAUCGGGGUUGUAGGAGCCCGACGAGGUAGUGCAAAGGUUAGGUGAAGCUUCUGGAAAGCUGCGCCAUAGAGGGUGAAAGGCCCGUAACCGAAAAUCCGAGCACGCCUAGGGAUUUCCUAAGUAAUACGAUGCACGUGAAACUUCGUAUGAAUCUGCGCCGACCACGGCGUAAGCCUAAAUACUCAUUGGCGACCGAUAGUGAACAAGUACCGCGAGGGAAAGGUGAAAAGAACCGCUGUGAGCGGAGUGAAAUAGUACCUGAAAUGAUGUGCUUACAAGGUGUCAAAGCCCGCAAGGGUGAUGGCGUGCCUUUUGCUUAAUGAGUCUGCGAGUUACUAUCAGUGGCGAGCCUAAGGCGUUGUGCGCUGGAGGCGAAGCGAAAGCGAGUCCGAAAAGGGCGAUUUUAGUCGCUGGUAGUAGACC